UUGCUGGAGAUACUAUUAGACUUGAGAUCGGGAGAGGUCAGAGGUUACGUCCUGGGGGUAAGGGGGUGAAAAUCCCUGGUAAAUCCCUAGGAGGACCACCUGUGGCGAAGGCGUCUGACUAGAACGAAUCUGACGGUGAGGAACGAAAGCUAGGGGCGCGAACCGGAUUAGAUACCCGGGUAGUCCUAGCCGUAAACUAUGCGGACUUGGUGUGAGGGUGGCUUUUGAGCCGUCCUGGUGCCGAAGGGAAGCUGUUAAGUCCGCCGCCUGGGAAGUACGGUCGCAAGACUGAAACUUAAGGAAUUGGCGGGGAGCACCACAACGCGUGGAGCCUGCGGUUUAAUUGGAUUCAACGCCGGAGAUCUCACCAGCGGCGACAGCAGUAUGAUGACCAGGUUGAUGACCUUGUUUGACAAGCUGAGUGGAGGUGCAUGG
This 435-nucleotide ribosomal RNA is filed under the name uncultured archaeon. Its description in RNAcentral is "bacterial SSU rRNA". It matches the Rfam family "Archaeal small subunit ribosomal RNA", at positions 572 to 997 of the family's 1478-position model. The record is from RNAcentral.